UAACGGAUACAGACAGUUAAACGUUAUGCCCCACUUCUGUCGUAGGUAGGACGUCAACGGAUACAGACAAUGAAACGUUAUGCCCCUCUUCUGUCGUAGGUAGGGCGUUAACGGACAGAGACAGUGAAACGUUAUGCCCCACUUCUGUCGUAGGUAGGACGUUAACGGAUACAGACAGUAAAACGUUAUGCCCCACUUCUGUCGUAGGUAGGACGUUAACGGAUACAGACAGUGAAACGUUAUGCCCCACUUCUGUCGUAGGUAGGACGUUAACAGAUACAGACAGUGAAACGUUAUGCCCCACUUCUGUCGUAGGUAGGACGUUAACGGAUACAGACAGUGAAACGUUAUGCCCCACUUCUGUCGUAGGUAGGACUUUAACGGAUACAGACAGUGAAACGUUAUGCCCCACUUCUGUCGUAGGUAGGACGUUAACGGAUACAGACAGUGAAACGUUAUGCCCCACUUCUGUCGUAGGUAGGACUUUAACGGAUACAGACAGUGAAACGUUAUGCCCCACUUCUGUCGUAGGUAGGACGUUAACGGAUACAGACAGUAAAACGUUAUGCCCCACUUCUGUCGUAGGUAGGACGUUAACGGAUACAGACAGUGAAACGUUAUGCCCCACUUCUGUCGUAGGUAGGACGUUAACAGAUACAGACAGUAAUACGUUAUGCCCCACUUCUGUCGUAGGUAGGACUUUAACGGAUACAGACAGUGAAACGUUAUGCCCCACUUCUGUCGUAGGUAGGACGUUAACGGAUACAGACAGUGAAACGUUAUGCCCCACUUCUGUCGUAGGUAGGACGUUAACGGAUACAGACAGUGAAACGUUAUGCCCCACUUCUGUCGUAGGUAGGACGUUAACGGAUACAGACAGUGAAACGUUAUGCCCCACUUCUGUCGUAGGUAGGACUUUAACGGAUACAGACAGUGAAACGUUAUGCCCCACUUCUGUCGUAGGUAGGACUUUAACAGAUACAGACAGUAAAACGUUAUGCCCCACUUCUGUCGUAGGUAGGGCGUUAACAGAUACAGACAGUGAAACGUUAUGCCCCACUUCUGUCGUAGGUAGGACGUUAACGGAUACAGACAGUGAAACGUUAUGCCCCUCUUCUGUCGUAGGUAGGGCGUUAACGGAUACAGACCAUGAAACGUUAUGCCCCACUUCUGUCGUAGGUAGGACACAAUAGCUUUGUGAAGAUCAGGUAGAACAAUUAUGAUAGAACACAUGUACAAAUUAUUCUACAAACUUCUAAUUAACACUUUUAAAUAAAAUACCUUCCCUAAUCUUUUCCCUUCAAAAAUAUAUUUCGUAUCGGGAUAAUAAGUUAACUAUUAACUAACUGGUCUGAAUACUGUCAAAACAGAAAUAUAAGUGUGCAUAAAUAAAAUUGAGAAUGGAAAUGGGGAAUAUGUCAAAGAGACAACAACCCGACCAAAGAGCAGACAACAGCCGAAGGCCACCAAUGGGUCUUCAAUGCAGCGAGAAAAUCCCGCACCCGGAGGUGGUCCUCAGCUGGCCCCUAAAUAAAAUUGUGUGCUUAUUCAGUGAAAAUGGACGUCACCCUAAACUCCAACCAAUUGAAAGGAGCAAUUGUGGCGUCCAGAAUAUGAACCAGCAAACAGGAAUAUAAAAAAGUAAAAAUGAUAAAACUGUUCGGCUAAAGACGUCAAACGCUAUCCGUCAUUAAGUACCCGACAAAAUACGUUAACAACAAAACUUGAGGACAAAAAACAAAAGACAGGGUAAAUGAAAUAAGACAACAUGGACUGGUGACAUCGCUUCAUUGUUACAGAGACUUCUAUAACCAUGUGUUAUAGUAGUCUUAGAUUGUCACGAGAAAAGCCUCGGAGCAAGUAAACUGCGGGCGUUUCAAGCAAAUUUACAAUCAACAAUAGAUUUUAAUGGACUGAUAAAAAUUGUAGGACUUAAAAUUUAAAAUGAACAUUAGAGUGUAUUGUGACGUCUCGCGAUUAAAUCUGGUAUACUGUUAAUUUGAUGGUAGAUUUAUAUUGAUCUGAACUAAAUUGACGGGCUCUAUAAAUUAUAGAGCCAGAUACGAUCCAUCUAAACUCAGUGAUUCUUUGAAUAAACAUAUUCUUAAAGGUUAUCAAUUUAACACAUUAGUAAAAUCUGUAAACAUUGAUUUUAUCGGUACUAACAUUGAUUUUCAAGUACAUCAAGUAUAUUGUUCAACAGCAAGGUGUCUAUUAUUUGUAUGGUAGUUGUUUGUGUGCGUCGUACCGAUCUGCAGCUGAUUUUUACAGUUUGUUCUAAAGUUGUGCUGUUACACCACCGUCCAGGUUAAGAGGAAGGGUAAGCGCUCAUAAACAUGUUUAAGCCGGCCACAUUCUUUAUGUACCUAUCCCAAGUCAGGAUCCUAUAGCUCAGUGGUCUUCGUUGGUUCAUGUCUGUCAUAUUUGUUUUUCGCAAAUUGUUUUGUUAUGAAUUGGGUCGAUAGUUUUCUCAUUUUGAAUUGGUUUACAGUUUUCCGUGUCGGGUCCUUUUAUAAGCGACUAUACAAGUUUUUUUCUCAUUGGUGAAGGCCGUAGGUGACCGUUAAUUGCUUAUAUCCACUUGUUUGAACUCUGGUGAAUAGUUGUCUUUUUGGCAAUCAUACCACUCCUUAUUUUUAUAUAUAUAUAAUGCGAUGACAUCUCUUACCACUUAAUUUUUUCUAUCACACCCAUUUAUAAUGAUCUGUGCUACAUUUAAGACCAAAUGUGAUGGCAUCCCUUACUACUUGAUGUUUUCUAUCACUAAUAAUAUCUUUCUUACAUUGUGAUUAAACCCUCUACCAAUGAGUAAAUAUUCGUCAAUGUUCUAUCACUAAUAAUAUCUUUCUUGCAUUGUGAUUAAACCCUCUACCAAAGAGUAAAUAUUUGUCAAUGUUCUAUCACUAAUAAUAUCUUUCUUACAUUGUGAUUAAACCCUCCUCUAACAAUGAGUAAAUAUUUGUCAUAUGUUUUUUUUUCAUCAAUCUUAAAAAUUUACCACUGCUUGCCCUGUUAAAGUUUAUUAGUUGAGGGAGAAAUGUUGGAUGAGAAUCUGUUCAAAUAUUGUUAAACAUCCAAGCCUUUUCGACAUAACUCAUUUGGAAAGAAUUUUUGUUUUAUGAAACAGUUUUUACGGUAGAUUAAUUGAUAGGUUGCUGUCUGGCCUACAUCUGACAUCAUAUCACACAUAGACAGAAUUUGGUGAAUAUAAGGCGCCGUUGUCUACUGAUGAUUUUAAACAUGGUUCUCCGUUGAUUUUUCAGAAAGAAGUAAGUCUGGUGCUAGUUUGGCACACUAUUAAUUGACUUCAAGUUUCUGACGAAAUUGUUUUUUUUAUUAAAGUUACCGUGCAUUUGGUUUUAACUGACAAAACAGACAUAAGAAUGAAAAGAAAUAAAUGUAAAUGAAAUUUAAAGUGAACCUAUUUAACAGCAUAUUGUAUACCGACAAUACAUUACAGCGAUAUUUAGAAUUUUUAGAGCGUGAUAAAUGAACAUUGACGACAAAAUGACUACUUAAAUGUACGUUAAAAUUAUGUAACAGCAUUGUGCAAACAAAAUAUCUUCCUUUACAACCUAUAACAUGCACUCCAACAAACAUGUCCCAGACAAA
This is an RNA transcript of Mytilus californianus (California mussel), 3612 nucleotides long. It is a transcript of the gene named clumping factor A-like, with no coding region annotated. The transcript has 6 exons. The record is from RefSeq and is a predicted model, not a curated record. Lineage: Eukaryota; Metazoa; Mollusca; Bivalvia; Mytilida; Mytilidae.